RNAcentral lists this ribosomal RNA (377 nucleotides) under uncultured Anaerolineae bacterium. RNAcentral's name for it is "bacterial SSU rRNA". It matches the Rfam family "Bacterial small subunit ribosomal RNA", at positions 521 to 896 of the family's 1533-position model. The record is from RNAcentral. Lineage: Bacteria; Bacillati; Chloroflexota; Anaerolineae.
UAAAACGUAGGAGGCAAGCGUUAUCCGGAUUUAUUGGGCGUAAAGCGCGUGUAGGCGGUUUAGUAAGUCGGACGUGAAAGUUCCCGGCUCAACUGGGAGAUGCCGUUCGAGACUGCUAGACUAGAGGGCAGCAGAGGGAGGUGGAAUUCUGGGUGUAGCGGUGAAAUGCGUAGAUAUCCAGAGGAACACCAGUGGCGAAGGCGGCCUCCUGGACUGUCCCUGACGCUCAGACGCGAAAGCUAGGGUAGCAAACGGGAUUAGAAACCCCGGUAGUCCUAGCUGUAAACGAUGCAGACUUGGCGUUGGUGGUUUAAUAGCCAUCAGUGCCGUAGCUAACGCGAUAAGUCUGCCGCCUGGGGACUACGGCCGCAAGGCUA